RNAcentral lists this unclassified non-coding RNA (231 nucleotides) under plant metagenome. RNAcentral's name for it is "partial contains small subunit ribosomal RNA, internal transcribed spacer 1, and 5.8S ribosomal RNA". The record is from RNAcentral.
UCUCCGUUGGUGCACCAGCGGAGGGAUCAUUACCGAGUUCCAGCAACUCCCAACCCUUGCGAACCGUACCCCAGUCUGUUCUCGUUGCUCCCGGCAGGCGGGGGGGGCCACCUGGCCCCUCCCCCUGCCGGGGGCGGCGGGCCCUCCGAACCUUUAUAUCUCAACCACUGAAACCCGUCUGAGCAAAACAAAAAAUAAUCAAAACUUUCAACAACGGAUCUCUUGGCUCUG